Molecule: ribosomal RNA, 497 nt
Filed under: uncultured bacterium
Lineage: Bacteria
Description: partial 16S ribosomal RNA
Rfam family: Bacterial small subunit ribosomal RNA
Source: RNAcentral
GAUGAACGCUGGCGGCGUGCCUAAUACAUGCAAGUCGAGCGAACAGAUAAGGAGCUUGCUCCUUUGACGUUAGCGGCGGACGGGUGAGUAACACGUGGGUAACCUACCUAUAAGACUGGGAUAACUUCGGGAAACCGGAGCUAAUACCGGAUAAUAUUUCGAACCGCAUGGUUCGAUAGUGAAAGAUGGUUUUGCUAUCACUUAUAGAUGGACCCGCGCCGUAUUAGCUAGUUGGUAAGGUAACGGCUUACCAAGGCGACGAUACGUAGCCGACCUGAGAGGGUGAUCGGCCACACUGGAACUGAGACACGGUCCAGACUCCUACGGGAGGCAGCAGUAGGGAAUCUUCCGCAAUGGGCGAAAGCCUGACGGAGCAACGCCGCGUGAGUGGUGAAGGUCUUCGGAUCGUAAAACUCUGUUAUUAGGGAAGAACAUACGUGUAAGUAACUGUGCACGUCUUGACGGUACCUAAUCAGAAAGCCACGGCUAACUACGUG